Molecule: long non-coding RNA, 203 nt
Filed under: Elaeis guineensis (African oil palm)
Lineage: Eukaryota; Viridiplantae; Streptophyta; Magnoliopsida; Arecales; Arecaceae
Description: long non-coding RNA (EGUI_LNC004413)
Source: RNAcentral
CCGCCACCUCCCAUCAGACAGGAAGCCAGGCUGCCAGCCAAGUGUAGCCAUCAACGAUAGUGACUCCUUCACCAGCCCAGCAAGCACUGAUCACGACGGAUCAGUUUAGCAGGUUCAAAAUUUGAAGACCGUUACUCAAGCGGUCUAGACUGUUCUGACGCCUCCACCGAUGAUGCCACAGCCUACUCAGACUGCUCCUGUAC